Molecule: ribosomal RNA, 141 nt
Filed under: uncultured eukaryote
Lineage: Eukaryota
Description: partial 18S ribosomal RNA
Rfam family: Eukaryotic small subunit ribosomal RNA
Source: RNAcentral
UGGUGGAGUGAUUUGUCUGCUUAAUUGCGAUAACGAACGAGACCUUAACCUACUUAAUAGUUACGCCGUCCGUGAGACGGUGGGCAACUUCUUAGAGGGACUUUUGCGUGUUUUAACCAAAGGAAGUUUGAGGCAAUAACA